AAGAGUGGCCAACAUUUCUCAAAUCUGACUCCAUGUCAGGGAAAUUGCUGUAGAAUGGGCUCUGUUCCACUUAGAGACAAAAUUUCAACUCCUAUAGAAACUAUAGACUGUUUUCUAUCCAAUAAUAAUAAUAAUAUGCAUAUUGUACGAUCAAGGAUUUUGUGGGAAGCCGUUUAAAAAAUUAGCCAAAUUAGCAUAAGUAGUCUAAACAGCGCCCCCAUCCCCAACAGGUUAUUAAAGGGAUACACUCACAUAUGGAAUAUUAGAAGUUUUGUUUUCUGAGUUUCCACUAAAUACGUAAAUUUUUUAGAUAACGGGUUCUUUAUUUUGUCUAAUAUAGUAAGGAACACUUCUUUGAAGUGGUGGUAUGACUUAUGACUUCUAUCAUAACUUUCCGUUGUGGUCUGAUCAGCCACAUUGGAAAGCCAUUUGGAUGGAGAAUCUAAGGUUAUUGGUAAUACUGAGUUUAAUAAUAUAUAUUUUUUUAUGUUUUAAUAUAUAUAUAGCGUUCCCAACUCACUUGGCAGACACGAGUAUGGUAACUGAAAUGUUAGGUCAAGAUAUUAUCCCUAGAGUUGGUUUCCUAGAAUAAUAAUGGAUGACAUUCUAACUAAUCAGAAAGAACAAAUAGAAUGACAGAGGUUCUAGCAGAACACAUUAGAAGACUGUUUAUUAACCAAACCCGUAUGUCCAAGAUUUUAUGCUCUACAGGAGAACUACAGAAGGCGAUUACCCACAAGAUUGGGCCAGGGGCCUGGGUCUGGGUCCAAUCACUAAAGAAUAAGGACUGGAAGCAGCCACGGUGGGGGGCCAUACCAAGCACUCCUGGUGACUGCCUUCGCAGUGAGAAUAUCUGAAAGAACUACCUGUAAUUAACCAUUAUUGAAGUUACAGCUAACCAACUCCUGGGAUCCGCUCAUGACACAGAUGCUCGUGACCAACCCAGUAGGAGACAGAAACGUGAUGCUCCUUGGUCCGAGGGGACAGAUAACAUCCACACCGACCUGUUGGGGGUCCCAAUAGGGGUCCCUCACGAAUUCCAGGCACUAAACCGGAAUGAUGGCCUGUGGUACUUAUUGCCCAUUAUUGGCCCAGCUAUUGUUGAUGCUAAACAAACUGCCUGGAUCAAUUAUAUCUAUUACAAUCAGCAACGUUUUGUUAAUUACACUCAUACUGCACUUACAAGUAUGGCUGAACAAUUAGAGGCUACCUCUAGGACCGCUAGGCAGAAUAGGCUUGCACUAGAUAUGAUCCUGGCCAAUCAAGGAGGGGUCUGUAAAAUGUUUGGUGAGCAAUGCUGUACCUUCAUCCCUAACAAUACUAGCCCAGAUGGAAGUAUUUCAAAAGCUUUAAGUGGCCUUGACAAACUCUUGGUGGAAAUGAAAGGUUUUGCUGGAGUGGAGGAGAGUGGACUGUUCUCCUGGUUGGGUGGCUGGUUCGGUAAGUACACUGCAUUGAUGGUUACUGGAUUUCUGACCCUCAUUGUUGUAUUCCUUAUGUUGAUGUGCUGUGCCGCUUGCAUCUUAUCUUGUUUGAAGAAAUCUGUUACAGAUGUGGGCCAGGCUUCAGGUAUGAUGCCAUUGCUUGAGACUCCGGAAGGAGACACUGACACUGAGUCUAACUUCCGGAGAAAAAUGGGGCUGACUGAGGAUGAUCCUUGGUUCGCUGUGGGUGAGGUUGUGGAAUGAAAAAGUUGAUAAUCAGUAGCUUAAUGUAACUAACAUACAUGUAAUAACUUGUCCUCCCUUAUGUGAAGGUUUAAAGUUCCUGGGUGGCGAGGAGCCGUCCUGGUACAAGAUAUGUGUAGCAGGGAGACCAGAUGGUUUUAAUGUUUUCUACAAAUAUACUCGCCACAGAACACACAACGCCGCUGUUGCCACCGUUGCAGGAACAAUCCAUCACAGCUGCUUCCUGCCAGAGGUCAACCAACAGGAUACAUCCAGAGAGACUGGACGCAAGCAAGAAGACAUAGAACUGAUAAUGGGAACCAUUAUCUUGGGAAUUAUGUUAUGUGAGAUCAAAUGCGUAACAUGAGUGAACUGGUGCUGAUCUCAAAGAUAUUGAACACAUGGAAAGAUUCAUACAUUAUUAUUUAUUUUUUACUUCGACACAUGAAAUGUACUGUAUGCAAAGUAACCAUGUGAUUUAAUAAUGCAUGUUAUCUAUAUCAGAGGAGGCUGGUGGGAGGAGCUAUAGGAGGGCGGGCUCAUUGUAAUGGCUGGAAUGAAAUGAAUGGAAUGGAGUCAAACACAUUGUUUCCAUGAGUUUGUUUUUGGUACCAUUCCAUUGAUACCAUUCCCAUUACAAUGAUCCCUUCCUCCUAUAGCUACUCACACCAGCCUCCUCUUGUCUAUAUCUAUAUAGCAAGCUAAACAUUUCUCCCUACUGAAAAGCAAAUUCUGACGUGUUUUAUGAAACUAAUGAGAAUUGCCUCAGGCCUGCGUUGAAACGGCUGCCAGUUUAUGCGCAUCAAAUGCGCAUCUCUAUUCCCCUGAACACGCAACAAAGCCGCAUGCUCACACGACACCCAAACAUUAGUUUGUUUAUGCUCCAACUGUACCAUGGUAAUGAAUGUGUCCGGAGUCGGGAAGAGACAGACAGGCAGCGUUUCUCAGCCAGUCGAAAUCAUGAAUCUGCUGCUAUUAUUGUUAUGGAUAUAUACAAAGAAAUGUCAAUUGAAAAAAGUGAAACGAAGUACCGAGGUAAAAGCAGUUUUGAGUUGGAUAUUCGACGGAUAUUCGCGCUUUCUAACCUCAAUAGCUUUCAAACCACUUGAGCCACAGACUCCAAAUAAGUGUCAAGAUGUUGGAAAAAUUGCGCACAACAUUGCACAGGUCUUAUUUUCACGAUUUGGACAUUAAUUCGCUUUCCAAAGCUAAUCAACGUGGAAAUGUGAGCAGCAUUUUGUACUACUAGUUGAAUUCGUUAUGGAGUGUAAAAGUACAAACUUUUUUUACAUUCGAAUUUCAAUAGUACUUGACUCAAACAAGGUUCAGAAUGUCCACUGACUACCCUUCUAUAUUGCACAACCUUUGAUUUGUUCAUUUUCAUCUCACACGUUUUUACAUGAAUUUGUCAAACUUUCGCAUUUCAAUAGCUCCUUGGUCAUGUGACCUACUGGACUCAAACAAGGUUCAGAAUGUCCACUCAGUGGGCCUACACAUUGCACAUCCUUUAGUUUGUCCAUUUUCAUCUCAAAACAUUUUUACAUACAUUUUUCAAACCUUCAAAUUUCAAUAGCUCCUUGGUCAUGUGACCUAAUGACUUCAAACAAACUUCAGAAUGUCCACGGACUAGCCUUAUAUAUUGCACACUCUUGUUUGUGUACUGUAAAAUCACACAGUAUAAUGUACAUGUUUUAUAGUUUUAAAUUUCAAUAGCUCCUUGGUCAUGUCAAUUACACACCUAAGAAGUGUGCAGUGGAUAUUCACCCAUAUUGCGUAACCUCUAGUCAUGUAUCUUCUAUAUUGUUGUACAUUAAUAUUAGUUUGACAAUUAGGGGGUUCAGUCCAGUGUUGUGUUAACCCUUUUCUUUCAUAUUUAUCUACAAUAAUUGGUAGUUCUAUGUACUUAUUUUCCCUGUUUUUUUUAUUUUGCCACAGUAUUUAACAGCGGUACACAAUAGGAGAGAGACAGAUAAUAUCUCCUUUCGUCGUUAAUAUCAACCAUAAAGGAAAAGGGCAAAGUACGAGAAUCAUGCUAUUAAUUGUCCAAAGCAGGAAUGGAGUGAAUUAGUGAGGUAGGCUGCAGUGGGUUUGCUGGUCAAUACAUAUACUGAACAUGUAAUCACAGUAAUGGUGGCCAGAAAAUCAAUGAAUAAAAAUGGAAUAUUGACAAAUUAAACAGAAAUUGUAGACCUUUAAUAUUUUCCAACAUGUCAACAGACACUUAACUUCAAUUAAGUAUAAAACAUUUCAGUGUUAAUUUUCUCUUUAUCCCUGGUUGAUGUACAUUUCAGAGCCUCUUCAGUGUGGAUGGGGUAUAGCAUACAUUUUCAACAACAAAGACAUCACUUCCAGUUUGUGUUCUUCACUCUGAAUUCUUUUGUCUUCAUUCCUAGGCACAGCACAUGGAACCACCGCUGGCAUUGAAAACAUUCAAUCUAAAACAAAACAAAGCGUAACAUGUUAUAAAUUAUAUUAAACAUCAAUGCAGUAUGACGAAUUAGCCAUCCAUUGUGUUAUAUCAUAAAUUGUCUGACAUGCCGUCACUGUUGUCAAAAGAUUCUAAACAUGUUAAAUAAAGUUACUAACCCAGUCAGUCUUUGGGCCACAUCCAGGUUCUUUAUCAGUGGCACCCAUGAAGCAGUUGUUGGCUUUGUUGAACUCUGAAGUCAUAGGCAUGAACUGAACAUAUGGCUGUCCCACACAACUACAUAAAAAUAAAGAAUUUACAUUUA
This is a long non-coding RNA of Salvelinus fontinalis (brook trout), 4399 nucleotides long. RefSeq lists it as uncharacterized. The record is from RefSeq and is a predicted model, not a curated record. NCBI's taxonomy places the organism in Eukaryota, Metazoa, Chordata, Actinopteri, Salmoniformes, Salmonidae. The transcript is spliced from 2 exons.